CCAAGGCCUACUACAAUGACCUGAUGAUGUCUACUACUCCAAGAAAAGACAGAAUUGAAUAUUGUACAAACUCUGUUACUCUGCCCUGGUGUCCCAUUUGUGGAGAGUCAUUGUAAUGUAUGGACAGAAUUGAACCCUUCUGUAACACUCAAAAUUUUAGUAGCUAGUGGAAAAAGGGAAAGCAUGAAGCCUUUGGAUUUCUUUUCUAUCACAGCUAUAAACAACCCCAAAUGGCCUCCCACAAAGUUGAUAAUGCAGCGCUGGGGUCAGUCUCUGCCCAUGGUACCCCAGGCAGUGAGGCUGGACCAGACGAGCUGAAUAAUUCGGUCUACCAGCCCAUCGAUGGAUCACAAGAUUAUCAGAAAGGAAAAUUACAAGUUCUUGGG
RNAcentral lists this small RNA (386 nucleotides) under Pongo abelii (Sumatran orangutan). Its description in RNAcentral is "processed transcript". Lineage: Eukaryota; Metazoa; Chordata; Mammalia; Primates; Hominidae. The record is from RNAcentral.